RNAcentral lists this non-coding RNA (23 nucleotides) under Cricetulus griseus (Chinese hamster). Lineage: Eukaryota; Metazoa; Chordata; Mammalia; Rodentia; Cricetidae. The record is from RNAcentral.
CACAUUGCUGAAGCUGCUUAGGA